AUUGAACGCUGGCGGCAUGCCUUACACAUGCAAGUCGAACGGUAACAGGUCUUCGGAUGCUGACGAGUGGCGAACGGGUGAGUAAUACAUCGGAACGUGCCCGAUCGUGGGGGAUAACGAGGCGAAAGCUUUGCUAAUACCGCAUACGAUCUACGGAUGAAAGCGGGGGAUCUUCGGACCUCGCGCGGACGGAGCGGCCGAUGGCAGAUUAGGUAGUUGGUGGGAUAAAAGCUUACCAAGCCGACGAUCUGUAGCUGGUCUGAGAGGAUGAUCAGCCACACUGGGACUGAGACACGGCCCAGACUCCUACGGGAGGAAGCAGUGGGGAAUUUUGGACAAUGGGCGAAAGCCUGAUCCAGCCAUGCCGCGUGCAGGAUGAGGGCCUUUGGGUUGUAAACUGCUUUUGUACGGAACGAAAAGCCUCUUUCUAAUAAAGAGGGGUCAUGACGGUACCGUAAGAAUAAGCACCGGCUAACUACGUG
RNAcentral lists this ribosomal RNA (482 nucleotides) under uncultured bacterium. Its description in RNAcentral is "partial 16S ribosomal RNA". It matches the Rfam family "Bacterial small subunit ribosomal RNA", at positions 30 to 507 of the family's 1533-position model. The record is from RNAcentral.